Molecule: ribosomal RNA, 431 nt
Filed under: uncultured bacterium
Lineage: Bacteria
Description: partial 16S ribosomal RNA
Rfam family: Bacterial small subunit ribosomal RNA
Source: RNAcentral
AACGAACGCUGGCGGCAGGCCUAACACAUGCAAGUCGAGCGCGCCUUCGGGUGAGCGGCGGACGGGUGAGUAACGCGUGGGAAUAUGCCCUUCUCUACGGAAUAGUCCUGGGAAACUGGGGGUAAUACCGUAUACGCCCUUUGGGGGAAAGAUUUAUCGGGGAAGGAUUAGCCCGCGUUGGAUUAGGUAGUUGGUGGGGUAAUGGCCUACCAAGCCGACGAUCCAUAGCUGGUUUGAGAGGAUGAUCAGCCACACUGGGACUGAGACACGGCCCAGACUCCUACGGGAGGCAGCAGUGGGGAAUCUUAGACAGUGGGGGCAACCCUGAUCUAGCCAUGCCGCGUGAGUGAUGAAGGCCUUAGGGUUGUAAAGCUCUUUCAGCUGGGAAGAUAAUGACGGUACCAGCAGAAGAAGCCCCGGCUAACUCCGUG